UGCAUGCCUAAGUUCAUACCUUUACACGGUGAAACUGCGAAUUGCUCAGUAAAUCAGUUAUCGUUUAUUUGAUUGUACCGGGGCCUCCCAAGGCUUCACACACUGGAUAACUGUGGGAAACUAGAGCUAAUACAUGUAAACUGCUAUCUCGGGGUAGCGUGCAUUUAUUCGCCUAGGAAACCAACACGUUUUGGGUUACGCCUGUGAAGCGUGGCUGUCUUGCCGCUUCUACAGCUCUGCGUUGCUCCCCCUUCUGGGAGAGUGCGCAGGGCGGUUGACUGUGGGGAAAGGGGCAGACACGCCCAGGAAGAACGAUCCAGACGUUCACGGUGAUUCUGAAUAACUGAUGCUGAUCGUACAGGGCCUCUGUGCCUACGAUAUUUCAAUCAAAUUUCUGCCCUAUCAUAUUCUGCUGGUAGGGUAGCGGCCUACCAAGGUGACGACGGGUAACGGGGAAUCAGGGUUCGAUUCCGGAGAGGGAGCCUGAGAAACGGCUACCACGUCCAAGGAUGGCAGCAGGCGCGCAAACUAUCCAAUCCAGACAAUGGGAGAUGGUGACGAGGUAUAUUGGAACUCACCGGCUAUGCCGGUCGAGUUACCAGAUAGACCCUAAUUUAAACCAAUAGAGGGUUAUUCAACGGGAGGGCAAGUCUGGUGCCAGCAGCCGCGGUAAUACCAGCUCCCGUGGUGUAUACGUUAGUUGUUGCGGUUAAAAAGCUCGUAGUUGAAAUACGGCGCGCUCGAAAGACCGUUCAGGAGUGUGGCUGCCUUGUGUGCAGUUUACGCAGGUACGGAGAGGCGACUGUGAGAGCGCCGGGACAUUACUCUGGCAGCGGCCCGGCACCGGUGCUGCUGCUGUUGCUUCAGUGCACCUCAUGGUGUGCGGAAGCGGCAGCAGCGACAACACGGACUGGGUCUCAACUGCUAGGGUGAUGCCUGCGGGUGCUCUCGUCAGGAGCCCUUCGGGCCUGACUUACACCCCCGAAAGAUCAUUAGAGUGCGCUUUCUCGUUGGGCCCGCCCGAAUCUCCUUUACUGGUGACGGGGGAAGUCCAGCGAAUUGUGCCUUGAGUAAAAUAGAGUGCUCCAAGCAGGCUAUGAUUAAUUCAUCGCCCGCAUACUCCAGCAUGGAACGAAUGUUCAAUUGCUUAAACCACCCCGCUGGCCUAGUUCGUUGGUUCAACACCGAGGUGUGUCCCCUCCCGGCCGGUGGGGUGCGUGCCUCUGUGUACGCACUCCAUCAUUCACCGUGGAGAUUUCGACACACUCUCGGCUAGGCCGUGUCCGCAGGAAAGUGUACCCGGAGACCCGCCUGUCAUCAGUCGGUGGUCUCUCCCACUGGGGAUCAUGUCUAUCUGUGUGGGCUGUGUGGUGCAUAUAGAUAUUGUUGUGGCCCGUGUGGCCGCCGCCAGCAAGUCUCGCUUGUUGUUGCUGCUGCCGCCGGAGACCACUCUCUCUAAAUAUAUCCCAGCCAAACACACACACCUGGGCACCCCGGCGCCGGAGAGGCCAUUUGGUGGCAGGUGUGCGUACUCGGUGGUGUCGGUGUGACCAGUAGUGGUGGUGGUGAUGGCGAUACCGAUGACAGAGGGCAGUGCUGCUGCUUCCGCCAGCUUGCGCUAGCGGAGCACACAGUGCUCUCUUCAUCUGCCAUCACGCAAACACACAUCCUAUUUGGCCGCCGUGCUCCACCGGGCACAGUCAGUCACCGGGAGCAAUGCACUCCCUGUGUAUGGGUAUCGGUUAACAGAGACAUUUGGGGGCAUUAGUAUUUGUCCGCGAGAGGUGAAAUUCUUAGACCGGGCAAAGACUAACAAUUGCGAAAGCAUUUGCCAAAGGUGUUUUCAUUAAUCAAGAACGAAAGUUGGAGGAUCGAUGACGAUUAGAUACCGUCGUAGUUCCAACUGUAAACUAUGCCAACCAGGGCUCAGGCCGGAUCAUUUAUAUUACAAAUAUUAUGGAUCCAGGUUGGGCCCCCCGGGAAACCUAAAGUUUUGGGUUCCGCGGGGAGUAUGGUUGCAAGGCUGAAACUUAAAGGAAUUGACGGAAGGGCACCACCAGGAGUGGAGCUGCGGCUUAAUUUGACUCAACACGGGGAAUCUCAUCAGGUCCGGACAUUGGAAGGAUUGACAGACUGACAGAUCUUUCAUGAUUCGGUGGAUGGUGGUGCAUGGCCGUUCUUAGUCGGUGGAGUGAUUUGUCUACUUAAUUGUGAUAACGGACGAGACUGCGACCUUCAUUUUGGCCGUAUGAAAUUAUCAACCGGUUCCGCUAGAUGCAUACAAGUCCUGUGCGGAGUGGCGCUCUGCUGGCUCCUUGAGAGGUGUUCACUGCUGAUGCAGCUGGCUAGGACAUGAGAUGGCGUUCGUGAUGAUACGCUCACACUUACCCUGGUACUCUCAGUGGUGCAUUGCAAGGAAUCCGCUGGGGUGUCUUACUCCGCACAGGAUGUGUCUGUGGUCCGGUGUGCGUUCGUGCGCCUUCAUGGAGGGACUACCGGAUUACAACCCGGGGGAAGCGUAGCAAUAGCAGGUCAGUGAUGCCCUUAGAUGUCCUGGGCUGCACGCGCGCUACAAUGGUAACGACAAUGAGUCUCUGCACCGAAAGGUGUGGGUAAUCUUGUCAAUCGUUGCCGUGCUGGGGAUUGAGCCUUGAAAUUAUUGCUCAUGAACCUGGAAUUCCUCGUAAGUACGAGUCACAAGCUCGUGCUGAAUACGUCUCUGCCCUUUGUACACACCGCCCGUCGCUACUACCGAUCGAAUGAUUUGGUGAGGACAUGGGAUCGAUCGGCGCCUCCUAUAGUGUGUGCGCUGACUGAGAGCCUGUCCAAGCUGCAUCAGUCAGAGGA
This 2847-nucleotide ribosomal RNA is filed under the name Sphaerospora sp. ex Sander lucioperca SP-2018. RNAcentral's name for it is "partial 18S ribosomal RNA". The stretch from base 464 to 2847 matches the Rfam family "Eukaryotic small subunit ribosomal RNA". Lineage: Eukaryota; Metazoa; Cnidaria; Myxozoa; Bivalvulida; Sphaerosporidae. The record is from RNAcentral.